Oryzias latipes (Japanese medaka) is the source of this 1155-nucleotide long non-coding RNA. RefSeq lists it as uncharacterized. NCBI's taxonomy places the organism in Eukaryota, Metazoa, Chordata, Actinopteri, Beloniformes, Adrianichthyidae. The record is from RefSeq and is a predicted model, not a curated record.
CCUAUAUUAACAUCUGGGUCACAUAGCCACUUCCUGUCAUCCAAGCUCUGGCUGUUGCUGAUCUGCUGUGGCUGGCUGCAUUUCUGAUUGCUGUCUUUUUAAACCUUAAACCAAACGUCUGCAUAACAUCGAACUGGAUCAACCAGACUUUUGAACAAACAACUCUUCGGUCAGGUUUUUUUUUCUCCCACUUCUAUCCCUGAUUGGAACCACUUCUGAUCUUUUGGCGCAUGGUGAGCCACCCACGAUCCAUCAAUGAGAACUUGAUCUACGAACCUAUGAAAAAGGAAUCUUCACAAAGAACUCAUACCAAUAGGAAAAAAAGGAACUUUAAAAACCAAAGACAGAAAAAUACCCUUGUGGAGUUCUGGACAUUCCAUUCUCCACCGGCCCAACUUAUUGUAUAUUUGUUUUAUGUGUUUUAACACAGUCAAUUUAUUACUUUAUUCUUGUGUUGCGUUUUCCAUUCGCACACUCGUGGCUCCUUGAGUCGAACACAUCUUCUGUAGGGCAGAGCAAGCAAGAUCUCUGGAUGCUGCUUUCACCAUGUUCUGCCACGCCACUGCACCGUUACAGUAAAGUUUUGGUUCCACCCAUUCCUUUCUCAGCCGGCUCUGGUGGAUCUGCCAGUUCGGUUCAGUUUUAUUUAUAUCGCCCAAUAUUGCAUCACAGUUGUCUCUCUUCACUAAUUGUACAAAACAUAAAAUCUGUUAUAAAAAUGUGUGUUGGGCACUAUUGUUUGGACGUCAGAAUUUUUUUGCGGCGGAACAUAAACAAAUUGCGCUUCGGGACCGCAUAUCCGUGGGUCUUGCGUCACCUACGUGAACUUAAUCCAUUUGAAGACAUAAUUAUUGUUGUUAACGGCUUUUUUAACGUCUUAAAAGAACGGUAAUGCUGCCCGGACAUUGACGCAUUUUGCACAUGCGACCAGUACAGAUUGGAUACCUACACCUGCCUUUCUCUGCAACUGUGAUCAGAUAUGUUGAAGAAUGGAGAAAUGCAUGUAAAAUUGAUGUAAUGCCUCCAUUCGAUGGGCGUAUAUGCAAUAGGUGUGUCCUGAACUGGAAAUUGCUAAUCAGCUUCACAAUUUCUAGUCUGAAAAUAUGACUUAAGAUUGUUCAGAAGCAGCUCAGAGGUUUAUGUAUGAAUGUCUAC